This 257-nucleotide ribosomal RNA is filed under the name uncultured bacterium. RNAcentral's name for it is "partial 16S ribosomal RNA". It matches the Rfam family "Bacterial small subunit ribosomal RNA", at positions 96 to 354 of the family's 1533-position model. The record is from RNAcentral.
UGGCGGACGGGUGAGUAACGCGUGGGCAACCUGCCUUACACAGGGGGAUAACACUUAGAAAUAGGUGCUAAAACCGCAUAAGCGCACAGCUUCGCAUGAAGCGGUGUGAAAAACUCCGGUGGUGUAAGAUGGACCCGCGUCUGAUUAGCUUGUUGGCGGGGUAACGCCCACCAAGGCGACGAUCAGUAGCCGGCCUGAGAGGGCGGACGGCCACAUUGGGACUGAGACACGGCCCAGACUCCUACGGAAGGCAGCAG